This 384-nucleotide transfer-messenger RNA is filed under the name Patescibacteria group. RNAcentral's name for it is "2-02-FULL-53-10 sp001791035 Standard tmRNA". It matches the Rfam family "transfer-messenger RNA". From Rfam's summary of the family: Bacterial tmRNA, also known as 10Sa RNA or SsrA, is named for its dual tRNA and mRNA-like properties. Its role is to liberate the mRNA from a stalled ribosome. To accomplish this part of the tmRNA is used as a reading frame that ends in a translation stop signal. RNAcentral also lists the same sequence under 1 other name. The record is from RNAcentral.
GGGGACGCCAGGAUUCGACGUAUGGUCGAUCCAUCGUCUGCGCAGGUCGGGGAUGUCCGCGCCCCCGUUAUCAAUCACGGACAGCGAAUAACUGCAAACAUCUUCGCAAAGGUGCGCAACGCGUUCCGCGUUCCGGCACCAGCCUACGCCAUCGCCUAAGCGCGACGGCCCGUCCAACACGCGAGGCUCCAUAGCGUGCUACGGACGUCAUCAUGGAGUGACAUCGUAGACUCCCCUCCAUCUACGGUGGCCGUUUGCGGAGGGACAACGACGCGCGUCUUUUUGUCAGCUCUUGAGCGCGCGCCGCACUAAAGCUGACUAUAUCUGUACACGCUUCGAUGGUUCUCAUAUCGGACGUGGGUUCAAUUCCCACCGUCUCCACCA